Molecule: long non-coding RNA, 12624 nt
Filed under: Citrus x clementina
Lineage: Eukaryota; Viridiplantae; Streptophyta; Magnoliopsida; Sapindales; Rutaceae
Description: Citrus clementina (C. clementina) long non-coding RNA (CCLE_LNC003275)
Source: RNAcentral
UCAAUUUAGCCCAAAAUAUAUACGUUAGUACGUAGCUUAUGCUUUCAAAUUGAAAAUUUGAGGUAAUGAAGUCAAAAUUCAAUCGCGUAAGAGAUGCCAGAGAAGAAUUCCUUACCUCAUCAGGGCCAACAUCGACAACUCUCUCCUCCAGGGCACCAAUAUCCUCAAUUUUGCCCUGCAGCAGGCCAGUGGCAGAUAUCAUUGACGCUGGUGUUAUUGAUAAAUCAUUAGUUAUUAUGCAAGCAAAAGAUUUCUUCACAACUCCGCCCUCAAUAUCCGAAACAAUCGACUGCUGCACUUCAUAACACUGACUCGAAGAACAUUGGGGACACCUGGUAUUUACUUCAUUUGUCACACAGCGGUGAUUGUUUCCACAGUUGUACAACUUUCUCUCCACAGGUACAGGUCGCGGACAAGCUUGGGGCUGCAAGAGCAGAGAUGCUUUCCCCCAUUUUAAAAGGGGUUUCAAGAGCUCAACUUUGGUUUGAUGGUGUAUUAGGUAAUCUUCAGGCAGGUUUUCAAGACUUCGGUACAGCUGGCUUCCUGUGCAGCCACCCAAACCAGCAUCCGUGACGAGCCUGGCGACACUACCAAGUGGCAUAUAAAGGACAUUGAACAGGAUAUCCACAAAAUCUUUCUCAGCUUCGGCAAACAAGACCUUGUUAGCUCGUUUAUCAAUCAUUAACUUCAAUUUCACCGUCGUUGUUUCAGUAUUUGAUGUUGCUGUUGUUGCCAUUGCCGUGGUUGAGGUUUCUGAAGAAAAACAAAUAGGUAAUUAAUUAAAUAUCACUUCUAUAUACGUGGAUUACUUACUCUCCUUAGGAUGCGGAAGUGCUUCCUAAUUAAAGUCACUUUCCAAAAGUAAAACAAAGUGGGAGCAUGCACCCACUAGUGGUGGAGCUCCGAAAGAUGGAUAUGUAACGUGGCAACUGGCCAGCAAACUUGUAACUAUUUUGUACGGUAAAGCAUCACAUUUAGCUUUUGGAGGUUUUCUGUGCAGGCAGUACUGUUUUACAAAAUUAUUGAAAUGCUUUUAACCAAAGCGUGAUGUGCAAAUCUUUACCUUAGCAACGUAAGAAAGCUAAUAAGAACGCGACUGUUAUGGCAUUCUUUUUAUUAUUACUUUUGUGACUUACCUAUUGUGCUGCCUGCCGGUGAUUUGUCUUGCUUUUCUUCUUUGUUUCACUUUAUUUUAUUCGUUACCAUUGCUUCCUUUUUCUUGCUUUUGUCGAUCCAUUGCUGUCUUUUACUUUGAUUGAUUUUGGUGGCUCUUGCUUUUGUUGCUUUUGUUGCUUUUGUUCUGCGUCAGCUUGCUUAUCGAAAAAGAACCCCAAGAAGUCAUGAAACAGAUUAUUUCUAAAAAAACAAAGAGAGCUUCUUUUGCAAGUCACCUUGUUUUAACGGAACUCAGUUUUAAUUCAUUCACUGAAUAUCAAAAUCGUGUUUAUUUUAAUUUAUCUCACUAGUCAUGGUAUGCAGAGGUAGGCUAAUGCGGGCUGCAGCCCGAGUAAGCUUUUUGAAAAAAAAAAUUAAUUAUAAUUUAUAAAUUUACUUUUUUAAUAUUUAUAAAAAUAUAAGAAAAAAUCUAAUAAUUAUAGGAUUCUUUAUUUUCCCCACAUCACAAUUCAUAAAACUCGACAAGUAUCCAACUGAACCUGAUUAAAUUCACCAAAAUUCAAUUGCUCGAGUCUCUUACCGCUGCUGAAUACCCAAUCUCCUGUGCUCAAAUUGAAGCCCACCCGCUACCUCAUGAGUGAUGCCGAGCCGAUGUCGCAAGGCCUGCACUCGUAGGCUGAAUCUCUCGCCGCACCUGAAGUCCCAACACAGAAUGCCCAGUCUCUUGAUACAGUGCCUGGUACAAAUCACUUUGCCUUUUAAAAUUUAAUUUACAGAAUAGAAUAUGAUUUAUGAUAAUGAUGGCAUAUUGUCAUACGAAGUGGAAUUGUGGAAGUUGUUGAUUAUGUGAUUCAUCUUUUUAAAAUUAUAAAAUAAUAAAAUGUGAUAAUGGACUACUAGAAUAUUAGAAUAUGACAAAUGGUAAUGAUAGCAUAUAAAGUGGAAGCUGCUGAUUCAUCUUCUUGGAAUUAUAAAAUAAUGAUGGCAUACAGAGAAUGAGUAAAUAAAAUAGUAAAACAAUUAAUUUUGAAUGCUGACUUUUUUUAAUUAGCUUUUAACUUGCCAUUUUAUCAAUUUUUUUAUAAAAUAAAUAAUAAUUUUCUAUUGUAUUAUAUUGUAGAUUCAAUGUUAAACAAAGCAAGAAAAACUCUACAUUCUUUUCUUAAGAGAGUAGGUGAAAAUCAAUCAUCCACCAAGUCUUUAUGUCAACUUAAUGCUCAAGAUUCCAGUGAGCAACAUACUUCUAAGUUUCAAAGGGUUGAAGUUGAAGAAACUAGAAAUACUUAUAUGGACCGUGAUCCUGGAUUACGCCAUCAAAUAGGGACAUAUUCAAUAAAUCAAUAUGAUGAUAUUCGAAGGAAGUACAUCAAAAUGGGACCUUAUCAACCUAAACUAUGAGAUUAUCCACUAACUAAUAAUGGCAUGCAAGAACGUAGGUUUCAGUAUCACUAGUUUAAAAAAUUUCCAUGGCUUGAGUAUUCUGAGGUAAAAGAUAGUGCAUUUUGUUUUCCAUGCUUUCUUUUUUAUGAAAUUCCAUCGAGCAACCCAAAAUUCGUUAUUGAAUGGUUUUCUAGUUGGAAGAGAGUCAACAAUGGAAAAAAAAAAUGUCCCUUUUUACAGCAUGAUGGGGUUCGUCUUCUCAUCAUAAUAAAAGUAUGCAGAGUUGGGGUUGUUUGAGGAACUCAAUUCAAUACAUUGAUAGACUAAUUAAUGCCCAAACUUCACAACAAGUUUUGGAGAAUAAGCUACGAUUGAAGACCUCAAUUAUUGCUAUUAAAUGUUUUGCAAAGCAAGCAUGUGCUUUUAGAAUUCAUAAUGAAUCAGUUAAUUCAAAAAAUCAGGGAAAUUUCAUAGAGUUGAUAAAGCAUUCAGCGGAGUGUAGUAAAGAAAUUGCUUCAAGUUGUCUUGGAAAAUGCUCCAUCAUAAGCUAAGUAUACAUUGUCUGACAUUCAAAAAGAGCUUUUAAAUAUUCUUGCAAACAAAGUGCGAAACAAGAUACGCAAGGAACUUAGAGAUGGUAAGUUUUGUAUUUUAGUAGACAAAGCACUUGAUGAAUUUGAUAAAGAGUAAAUGACUAUUAUUUUAAGGUAUGUUGAUUGUGAUGGGUAUAUUCGAGAACAUUUUUUUGAAGUUGUCAAUGUCAUGGAAACUACAGCGGUAACACUAAAAAAAGAAAUAUGUAAUGUUCUUGCACGAUAUGAUCUUUUAGUUGAAGAUAUCUGAGGGUAAGGAUAUGAUAGUGCUAGUAACAUGCGGGGUGCAUGGAAUGGAUUACAAGCAUUAUUUUUGAAAGACUGCCCAUAUGCAUAUUAUAUACACUGUUUUGCACAUCAACUGCAACUUGCUUUAGUUGCAGCAUCUAAUGAUGUGCCAGAUGUAUGGCUUUUCUUUUCAACAUUGGGUUCAAUUGUAAAUGUUCUGACUUCAUCUGCUAAACAACUUUCUGAGUUAAAAUUGUUUGGGAAGAAGAAAUAAUAGAUUUGAUAACUUCAUAAGAAGUUCAAACUUGUACAGGGGCCAAUCAAAUUCAUACUUUGCAACGACCUGGAGCUACUCGCUGGAGCUCUCAUUUCCGUUCUGUCAGCAGGUCGCUUGAUCUAUUUAGUGUUGUUCGUAAAGUUCUUGGGAAGUUGGUAGAGUGUGGGCCUAAUAAUAGCAUACGUGGAGAGGCUAAAGUUGUGUGCGAAUCAAUGACAUUUUUUUAAUUUUGUGUUCAUUUUGCAUUUAUUAAAUAAAGUUUUGGGGAUUGGUGAUUUACUUUGUCAAGCAUUACAAGUGAAAUCUCAAGAUAUUUUAAAUGUUGUGCACUUAGUCUCAACUACGAAAAAACUUCUUCAAAGGCUGCGAGACAAUGGUUGGGAAACUUUUAUUAAGAAUGUAGUUCUAUUUUGUGAAAAGAAUGAGAUAGAUAUGCCUGAUUUGAAAGCUCGCCAUAUGAAAGGCAGAGGACGUUCUUGUCAGCAGAAUGAUUAUAUUACAGUUGAGCAUUAUUAUCAUUAUGAUAUAUUUAAUGUUGUGAUAGAUUUUCAAUUGAUAAAGUUGAAUAAUAAAUUCACUAAACAGACUUUGGAACUCUUUGGAACUUUUCACUCUUAGUUUAGUUUUAAAUCCUAUUGAUGCAUUUAAAUCAUUUAAAAUUGAAGAAAUUUGCAGUCUUGUUGAAAGAUUUUAUCCUCAAGAUUUCACUAAAAUUGAGCUACAGGCUUUGAGAAGACAAUUAUAAUGCUUUGAGAUUGAUAUACACUCUCUUCAAGAGUUUCAGAAUAUUACUUCCCUUUUUGAAUUGUGUCGAAGAUUAAUUGAGACUAGAAAGUCAUAGAUUUAUUUCUUAUUAGAUAGAUUAAUUCGUUUAGUGUUAAUCCUUCCUGUUUCAACAGCAACAACAGAGAGAGCAUUUUCUGCCAUGAAACUAAUUAAAACAACACAUCAAAACAAAAUGGAGAAUGAGUUUCUUUCAUAUUGUAUGGUUAUUUACAUCGAAAGAGAAAUUGCAGACAAUAUCGACUCAGAUGCAAUAAUAGAUAAAUUUUCGUUUUUGAAGAAUCGCAGGACACAGCUUCAUCGAUAAUGUUUUUCUUAUUUACAUUAUAUUUUUAUAGUUUUAUGGUUAGAUUUUUGCUUAUGUAGUGUGCUUAAUUUCAUUUGUAUAACACAAAUUUUUUUAGAAGUAAAUUUCAUUUUUUUUUUAAAUCUGGCCCACCCAAAAAAAUAAUGCUAGCUUCGCCACUGAUUAGGGGUGGGCAAAAAAACCGUAGUGUUAAAAAAACCGAACCGAACCGACGGUUUUUUCUAAUUCGGUUCGGUUUUUAUUUUUUAAAAAAACCGAAUAUACCGUUUGUAAAAAAAACCGAAAUGUCGGUUCGGUAUUCGGUUCACUUAGCUGAACCGAAAAACCGAACCGAAAAACCGAAUUAUUUUUUUAUUUUAUUCAAAUCAAACAUGUGUUAAUAAUUUUAUUCAAAUCAAACAUGAUUUUAUUCAAAUCAAACAUGUGUUAUUUCUCUUUAUAACAUUAUGAUUAUGUUUAUAUAGAUGGAGUAUUGGAGUUUGUUUAUGUAUUUUGAAAUUUUAAUAUUUCAUAUUUUGGGAGUAUCUUAUUAAUAGUUAGUAAGAUAUUAGUGAUAAAAUGUGUUUUGAAUACUUUGUAUUUAUUGUUAAUAUUUGUAAUAAAAUUAGGAUAAAUUAAUUGUUGAAAAAAAUUAUUACAUUCAUGAGGCCCAAUGGACUAAAAAAUUAAAAAUUCAAAAUAAGCUCAAUAGGCCAAGAACCGAAAAAACCGAACCGAACCGAACCGAUCCGAAAAGAACCGUUUGAGUUCGGUUCUUAUUGAGUUCGGUUCUUAUUCGGUUCUUUUUAUAAAAUAACCGAUUUAAAUCGGUUCUACUUAAUUUCGAACCGAACCGAACCGAACCGAACCGUGCCCACCCCUACCACUGAUGGUCUGCAGGCAAAUAGGACAGGAACUGAACGAAUUAUCAUCAAACUGUAACUUAGGAAAGAAGCCAUAUGUAAUUUCCCCAAUUCUGACUCCAUUAGUUCCAACAAUGUAUAACUUGACCAUCGGUGAUUCAUUUUCGAACACAAGUUAACAAUUUGGUCUGUCUAAUGAUAAUUAUUUGUAUGUUUUUAAGGCCUAAUUUACAAGCUGACAAGACUAAUCACCAUGGAUGAAGAAGAUUUUUGCCGAUCGCCAAUGAUGGCUGCCCUGCGGGCGUUCUAGUAAUUUACGAUAUUUAAGAAUAGUGGAAACGAGCAAAAAUUGGAAUGUACAUGUUCAUUAAUUAAAGUAUGAGUUAAUAACUGAAAAAUGAUUGUGUUACGCUCAAUUUACCCCAUCAUCCUCCUAAAAAAAAUAGGGAAAAAAAAAAUCAACAACCAAGUUUAAGCAUAAUAUAUGAACAUCAUUAAUUCAUCACAUACUUUUGUACCGUCAAGAACAACGCACAAACAAGAAAUACAUGUAUAUAUAUACAUACUAGGUUUAUUAUGAAUAAACCAAACGGAUAUAUAAUGACAACGUAUAGCUAUCAUGACACCACAGUUGUUUUUAUGAGUCAUAUCAUUUUCAACCCAUAAACUUUUUCUUCAUAAGGAAGGAAGACGGUAGUGAGAGCUUCAUUUGUUUGCAUUGAAGCAUUCAACAGCUCCAGAACCUGAGAUGUAUAAAAACCAUGCUCAACUUAGCCCAAAAUAUAUACAUUAGUACCUAGCUUAUGCUUUCAAAUUGAAAAGUUGAGACAAUGAAGUCAAAAUUCAAUCGAGUAAAAGAUGCCAGAGAAGAACUACUCCUUACCUCAUCAGGGCCAAUAUCGACAACUCUCUCCUCCAGGGCACCAAUAUCCUUAAUUUUGCCCUGCAGCAGGCCAGUGGCAGAUAUCACUGACGCCGGUGUCACUGAUAAAUCAUCAGUUACCAUGUAAGCAAAAGCUUUCUUCACAACUCCGCCAUCAGUAUCCGAAACAAUAUUCAACUGCUGCACUUCAUAAUUCAUUAUAUUCAUUGCACUGUUAACAGAACCAAAAGCACUAGGUUGGGUACACUGGGGACACCUGGUGUUUUCUUCAUUUGUCACAUACGGGUGAUGGUUUCCACAAAUGUACAACUUUCUCUUCCCAGGUACAGGUCCCGGACAAGCUUGGGGCUGCAAGAGCAGAGAUGCUUUCCCCCAUUUUGAAAGGGGUUUCAAGAGCUCAGCUUUGGUUUGGUCGUGUAUUAGGUGCUCAUCAGUGAGGUUUUCAAGACUCUGGUUUAGGUUUCCUAUGCAGCCGCCAAAACCAGCAUCCGUGAGGAGCCUGGCGACACUACCAAAUGGCAUAUAAAGGACAUUGAACAGGAUAUCCACAAAAUCUUUCUCAGCUUCGGCAAACAAGACCUUGUUAGCUCGUUUAUCAAUCAUUAACUUCAAUUUCACCGUCGUUGUUUCAGUAUUUGAUGUUGCUGUUGUUGCCAUUGCCAUGGUUGAUGUUUCUGGAGAAAAACAAAUAGGUAAUUAAUUAAAUAUCACUUCUAUAUAGGUGUUACUCUCCUUAGGAUGCGGAAGUGCUUCCUAAUUAAAGUCACUUUCCAAAGGUAAAACAAAGUGGGAGUUUUCACCCACCAGCAGUGGAGCUCCGAAAGAUGGAUAUAUGACGUGGGCACUAGGCAGCAAACUUGUAAUUAUUUUGUACCGUAAAGCAUCCCAUUUAGCUUUUGGGAGGCUUUCCGUGCGGGCAGUAUUGUUUUACAAAAUCAUUGAAAUGCUUUUAAUCGAAACGUGAUAUGCAAAUCUUUACCUUAACAACGUAUGAAAGCUAAUAAGAACGCGGCUGCUAUGGCAUUCUUUUUAUUACUUUUGUGACUUGCCUAUUGUGCUGGCUGCCGGUGAUUUGUCUUGCUUUCCUUCUUUGUUUCACUUUAUUUUAUUCUUUGCCAUUGCUUCCUUUGUCUUGCUUUUUUCGAUCGAUUUCUGUCUUUUACUUUGAUUGAUGUUGGUGACUCUUGCUUUUUUUGCUUUUGUUCUGCGUCAGCUUGCUUAUCGAAAAAGAACACCAAGAAUUCAUGAACCAGCUUAUUUCUAAAACAAAGCUUCUUUUGCAAGUCACCUUGUUUUAACGGAACUCAGUUUUAAUUCAUUCACUGAAUAUCAAAAUCGUGUUUAUUUUAAUUUCCCCAACCCUGCCUCCAUUUUUCAAAUUUAUUCCGUGGAACAACCUAAUAAUUGGACCAUUAUACAUUCUGUUCUUCGACACUGAUGUGUGACUGCCAGGUGCUUUUCCCGAUUUUGUUUCAUUGUUUGUAUAUUAUGUUUGUUAGCGGAGUUUGAAUUAAAUCUUGGUAAUGGGAGUAUUAUUUAACCAAAACAGGUUUUCUCAUGAUCUGAACUUUUAAAUUUUAAAUAUAAAAUUACGUAUAAUUAACAAAUCGUGAAUGGUAGCACAACUAUUAACCAUUGUAAAUUAAUAUCACAGAGUAUAAAUUUGCAGUCAUAAUUGUCGGUGCUGAAACGGGUUGAUAGACGACAAGUCGUCCAAGAGAUUGUGCUCCUCAUACGACAUCAACUUGCUGUCAUACAAGAAGCAUUAGUAAUGCACUUGAUCUGCACAUGUAAUUACGAUUCAUGCUACCAUUAAACGGCAGCUCCAAUUGUCGUUUUAAGCGUAGGGGCUGUUAAUGACAGUUAGUUUUGGCGGGAAUUUUUCUGGGUUUGUUUCAGCAAACCCAGAUCAUUAGCUGGCGAGUGGCAUCCCAUUCUGGAUCCUUCCAGAGCAGUAUAUAAGGUUCCUAAGGCUCAGCUUAGAGGAAUUAAGUUCUUUGUAACACUCUCUAUUAAGCUUGUAAUCUGUUGAGCAUCAAUAAAAUGGCUAUGGCUUCUGUUUCUCAAGAGGAUGUGUAGGCUGCUUAGCCGAACCUCUAUAAUUCCUUUUGUGUGCAGUUCCUUUCUUUUCUAUUUGUUUCUGUCAAAUCACUUUUACUUUGUUUCUGAUUGAGUUCGAAAUUCAUUCUUUAAAGGACAAGAUCAGUGUGGGGAAGUUUCUUGGGGUGUAGAAUUAGGAUUAAUCAAUUCUAAUUCCUAACAUUUUUCCUUCGUGAGCGUUUUUUCUCAGUCAGUUUCAAAAAGGGAGAGCCUUAAGUCUUAAGCAUCCUUUAGACCUGGACACCAAAAAGAAGAAAAAAGAAAUUUAUCACCUAAGGGUUCAAUGAUCCAAUUACAUUACUGAAAGUAUGACUUGUCGUUCGAAUAAAAUCUUUCUAGAUGCACAGUUAAAAUUAACCAGUCAUGAAAGUAAUUUAGAAACAACACGAGUUCAUUCAACACAAGCUUUCUCCUAAAAACACACCCACAUCCUAAAUAUUCAAUUUGUUGAGCAUUUGAGCAAAGUAAUAUAGAAGACAUAGUAUACAUAAGACAUAGGCAUCAUUUCCGAAUUAUCCAUCAGCAGUACAUAACCACAUCUUUAACAAAAACUCAAGCAGCAGCUUGAGGACUUUGGAAAGCCUUCAGGGACACUGCUAAGCUGUAAAAUACAGUAAUAUUAAUUAAGCUGGUCACCAGACUCUGUUUACUCCCAAUAAAAAUAUUUGGUAUAGUUUUUUUUUUUUUUAAUUUUUGACCACGAGAUAUCCUGGAGAGGGCAACAACUGUGGGAGGCACCUUUAAGCCUGUACCACAACCUAGAUUAGAAGUCCCCGCUCAAAUCGAGAGGCACAGGUUCUCCCAACAAAUGCGACUUCCCUGCGAUUCGAACUAGGGAGCAAACCUAGUCAAGUCACUUAAGAGAACUCCAUUACCAGUGGAGCCAACACUUUGUUGGUUAUUAUUUGGUAUAGUUUAAUUUGCAGGGUAGUUUUGAGUUCCCCAUGCAAAUUCUCAACAUUAAAUAUUUUUAAUGAAAUGUAAGUUCCUAAGACCAGAACUGAUUAUCAACAUACCUCAUCAAGGCCAAAAUUGACAACUUUCUCCUCAAGUGAACCCAACUCUCUACUAUUAAACUUGUUAAGGAAAGUGAUGCAAGAAAUAGCGGACAUGGGCGUCACCUCAAUUAUCCAUCACCAUGCAAGCGACCGCCUCUUUAACAAACCCUCUCUCAGGCUCAGCCACGGCAGCCGCAGCGCUUGCACCCUCCGCGGGAUAAACAAAAGCAAUCCCACUGUUCAUUCUCAUAUUGCAACUAGGACAAGACCUGUUUGGAGCAUCAGCAGCAUGAAAGUGACGACUAUAACCAACAUUAGAGCACGUGCAAAAUUUCCUAGCAUUUGGUACAACAUUUUUAUCAUCAGAAAGCAAAAGAGUGAUUUCAGUGGGACAUAUUGGAGAUUUGGGAUUAGCACUAAGUUCUUGUUUUGGUUUGAUUGCAUGUAGGAUCAAGUGCUUGUUCUUCACAAGCUUAACUAUAGAGCCAAUGGGCAGUGAGAAAAUCUAGAAAAGGAAAUCUACAAAGUCUUUGCCAGCUUCUGCGAAAAGCGAUUUCUGAACCUAUAAGAAGCUUCAAACUCAGUUUGGAGGCUGCCAUGGCUAAUUGUUCUAGGUUGUAUGUAGUAGAGAAAUUGUUACCAAUAUUCAGGCGUAGAUUCACUCAAAUACUUAAAAUGAUAAAAAAUUCUCAAGAUAUUAUGAGAAAUCUGGAUUUAUUAAAGAAUAUUGAAAAAAAAAAAACAGAGAGAGAGACUAUAGUUUUUAUUAAUUAUAAUAUAAUAAUAAUAACACAAAGUAAAUUAUUCUUCUUCUUCAUAGUAAUUGAUCCCACAUGAUGCUAAUCAUGCAUGGACACUUGCAAACAGAACUAUAUAAAACUUACGCGUAUAUAUAUGUGUUUAUAUACAUAUACUCUAUAUGUCAGAACUCUGUAUGAAUCUACAAUCUUCUGAUGGGAUUUUUGAAUUCCCAACAACCUUCUUCCUUGCCAUAUACUUUCAAUUACACCGCAUUUCGCCUUUUAUAUUUGAGAAAUAGUGGAUCGCAUAUCAUUAAAUGGUCAAAAAGUAAUUUCCUCAUCCAAUCGAAGAGAUCUCAUCUGCAUUGGUUCAAUUGAUUGUCCAGAUUGGAUAAUAAUUUGAUCCUAGAUAUAAAUUUGAUCAUAUUAAUGAAUUAAAUGUGUAUUGAAUUAUUCUAGUUAUGAAUCUCUUUGUCAAGAGGAACCACCAAGAAUUAAUUCAUAAUUAAAGCUUAUUUCGAAAACAGAUGAACCUUUUAGAAUUCUCCUUGUUUUACAAUUUUAAUGUCAUUCGUGAUCAUCACUGAAUAUCAAAAUCCUGUUUUCAUCAUCAUAUAUUCAUAUUAAUUAGUUGUUGUAAAGAAAUAAAUAAAUAAAUAAAUAAAUAAGAACUAAAAACUAAAAAGGGUCCACGCUUUCCUAAAUCCGUAACUUAGGAAAGGAGCCGUAUGUAAUUUUCCCAAUACUUGACUCCACUAGUUCCAUUAGCAAUGUAUAACUUGACCAUCGGUGAUUUAUUUUCGAAGCUGUAGAGAGUGAUAUUUACAAAUUAUAAUUGUUCCAUAAUAUCGAACACAGUUUAGCAAUUUGGUCUUUCUAAUGAUAAUUAUUAGAAUGUUUUCACAGCCUAAUUUACAAGCUAUCAAGACUAAUCACCAUGGAUGAGGAAGAUUUUUGCCGACUGCCAAUGUUGGGUUCCCUCUGGGAGUUCUAGUAAUUUACGAUGUUUAAGAAAAGUGGAAACGAGCAAUUAAAAACCGGAAAUCUACGUGUUCAUUGAUUAGAGUAUGAGUAAAGAACUGGAAAAUGAUCGUGUUACGCUCAAUUGACCCCAUCAUCUUCUCAGAAAGUGAAAAAAUAAAUAAAGUUUAAGCAUAAUAUAUUAACAUCAUUAAUUCAUCACAUACUUUUGUAACGUCAAGAACAAUGCACAAACACGAAAUAUGUACUAGGUUUAUUAUGAACAAACCUAACGGAUAUAUAAUGACAACUUAUAGCUAUCAUGACACCACAGUUGUUUUUAUGAGUCAUAUCAUUUUCAACCCAAAAACUUUUUCUUCAUAACGAAGGAAGAAGGUUCAUUUGUUUGCAUUGAAGCAUUCAACAGCUCCAAAACCUGAGAGGUAUGAAAACCAAUCUUUAUUUAGCCCAAAAUAGAUACAUUAGUACGUAGCUUAUGCUUUCAAAUUGAAAAGUUGAGAUAAUGAAGUCAAAAUUCAAUCGAGUAAAAGAUACCAGAGACUAACUCCUUACCUCAUCCGGGCCAAUAUCGACAACUCUCUCCUCCAGGGCACCAAUAUCCUUGAUUUUGCCCUGUAGCAGGCCAGUAGCAGAUAUUACUGACGCUGGUGUCACUGAUAAAUCAUCAGUUACCAUGUAAAAAACAGAUUUCUGCACAAUCUGCGAAGCUAUGUUCAAUUUCGUCAUCUUUUCAUGAGUCUGAGGAUGAGAACAUUGGGGACACCUGGUGUUAACUUGAGUUGUCACAUACAAGUGAUUGUUUCCACAACCGUACAACUUUCUCUCCACAGGUCCAGGUCGCGGACAAGCUUGGGGCUGCAAGAGCAGAGACGCUUUCCCCCAUUUUAGAAGGGGUUUCAAGAGCUCAGUUUUGGUUUGGUGGUUUAUUGGAUGAUCAUCAGUCAGGUUUUCAAGACUCUUGUAUAUGUUUCCCGUGCAGCCACUUGAACCAGCAUCCAUGACGAGCCUGGCGACACUACCAAGUGGCAUGUAAAGGACAUUGAACAGGAUAUUCACAAAAUCUUAGCUUCGGCAAACAAGACCUUGUUUGCUCGUUUAUCAAUCAUUAACUUCAAUUUCACCUUCGUUGUUUCAGUAUUUGAUGUUGAUGUUGUUGCCAUUGCCAUGGUUGACGUUUCUGAAGAAAAACAAAUAGACAAUUAAUUAAAUAUCACUUGCAUAUUAUACGUGGAUUACUUACUCUCGUUAGGAUGCGAAAGUGCUUCCUAAUUAAAGUCACUUUCCGAGAGUAAAACAAAGUGCGGGCAUGCACUAGUAAUGGACGGCCGAAAGAUGGAUAUAUAACGUGGGCACUGGGCCUUGUAAUUAUUUUGUUCCAUUUAGCUUUUGGGAGGCU